Molecule: unclassified non-coding RNA, 300 nt
Filed under: uncultured Clavicipitaceae
Lineage: Eukaryota; Fungi; Ascomycota; Sordariomycetes; Hypocreales; Clavicipitaceae
Description: sequence contains 5.8S rRNA gene, ITS2
Rfam family: 5.8S ribosomal RNA (bases 1-71)
Source: RNAcentral
GUGAAUCAUCGAAUCUUUGAACGCACAUUGCGCCCGCCAGUAUUCUGGCGGGCAUGCCUGUUCGAGCGUCAUUUCAACCCUCAAGCCCCAGUGGCUUGGUGUUGGGGACCGGCGACCUCGCCUGCACCUGGUGCAAGCGUCCGCCGCCCCCGAAAUGAAUUGGCGGCCUCGUCGCGGCCUCCUCUGCGUAGUAGCACAACCUCGCAACAGGAGCGCGACGCGGCCACUGCCGUAAAACGCCCAACUUUUUUAGAGUUGACCUCGGAUCAGGUAGGAAUACCCGCUGAACUUAGGCAUAUC